This is a small nuclear RNA of Otolemur garnettii (small-eared galago), 107 nucleotides long. The record is from Ensembl. NCBI's taxonomy places the organism in Eukaryota, Metazoa, Chordata, Mammalia, Primates, Galagidae.
GUGCUUGCUUCGGCAGCACAUAUACUAAAAUGGGAAUGAUACAGAGAAGAUUAACACGGCCCCUGUGCAAGGAUGACACGCAAAUUCGUGAAGUGUUCCAUAUUUUU